RNAcentral lists this ribosomal RNA (726 nucleotides) under uncultured archaeon. Its description in RNAcentral is "bacterial SSU rRNA". It matches the Rfam family "Archaeal small subunit ribosomal RNA", at positions 53 to 780 of the family's 1478-position model. The record is from RNAcentral.
GCUAGUUGCACGAGUUGAGACUCGUAGCAGAUAGCUCAGUAACACGUGGCCAAACUACCCUAUGGAUCCGAAUAACCUCGGGAAACUGAGGCUAAUUCGGAAUACGAUUCACGACCUGGAGUGGUGUGAAUCCGAAACGCUCCGGCGCCAUAGGAUGUGGCUGCGGCCGAUUAGGUAGACGGUGGGGUAACGGCCCACCGUGCCCAUAAUCGGUACGGGUUGUGAGAGCAAGAGCCCGGAGACGGUAUCUGAGACAAGAUACCGGGCCCUACGGGGCGCAGCAGGCGCGAAACCUUUACACUGCACGCGAGUGCGAUAGGGGGACUCCAAGUGCGAGGGCAUAUAGUCCUCGCUUUUUGCGACCGUAAGGAGGUCGCGGAAUAAGUGCUGGGCAAGACCGGUGCCAGCCGCCGCGGUAAUACCGGCAGCACGAGUGAUGACCGCUAUUAUUGGGCCUAAAGCGUCCGUAGCUGGCCGUGCAAGUCCAUCGGGAAAUCCGCGCGCUUAACGCGCGGGCGUCCGGUGGAAACUGCACGGCUUGGGACCGGAAGACCAGAGGGGUACGUCCGGGGUAGGAGUGAAAUCCCGUAAUCCUGGACGGACCACCGGUGGCGAAAGCGCCUCUGGAAGACGGAUCCGACGGUGAGGGACGAAAGCUCGGGUCACGAACCGGAUUAGAUACCCGGGUAGUCCGAGCUGUAAACGAUGUCUGCUAGGUGUGGCACA